GACGAACGCUGGCGGCGUGCUUAACACAUGCAAGUCGAGCGGUAAGGCCCUUUCGGGGUACGACGAGCGGCGAACGGGUAGGAGUAACAACGUGGGUGGACCUCGCCCUCCAGCUCUGGGAGUAAGCCGUCGGGAAACCGGGGUACUAAUAACUGGAUAUGACUCCAUGACGCAUGUUGGUGGGGUGGAAAGCCUUGUGCGGCUGAGGAUGGGCCCGGCGGCCUAUCAGCUUGUUGGUGGGGUGAGGCCUACCAAGGCGACGACGGGUAGCCGGCCUGAGAGGGCGACCGGCCACA
Molecule: ribosomal RNA, 296 nt
Filed under: uncultured bacterium
Lineage: Bacteria
Description: partial 16S ribosomal RNA
Rfam family: Bacterial small subunit ribosomal RNA
Source: RNAcentral